This 282-nucleotide long non-coding RNA is filed under the name Elaeis guineensis (African oil palm). RNAcentral's name for it is "long non-coding RNA (EGUI_LNC062008)". Lineage: Eukaryota; Viridiplantae; Streptophyta; Magnoliopsida; Arecales; Arecaceae. The record is from RNAcentral.
AUAUGGUAGUUCAUGAUGAACUAUCCAUAUAAAUCAGAAAGAGACUGAAGGAUCAGAUGUACCUACAAUUCUUUAUCCAUGUUCAUGCCGAGCUUCUGAAGCUCCUCUAUAUCCUUGAUCAUUGUCAAAUAACGAUUAUUGAUGGACUAUCCAUCAUGCAUCUUCAUUCUGAAGAGUCUUCAGAAGAUCUCAAAAUGAGCUGUAUGACUCUGCUCACCAUAUAACUCUUGUAGGUGAGUCACCAUCUUCCUGACAGUCCUCAUGUUUUCAUGCUGUUACUGA